This is a non-coding RNA of Equus caballus (horse), 1254 nucleotides long. The record is from RefSeq and is a predicted model, not a curated record. NCBI's taxonomy places the organism in Eukaryota, Metazoa, Chordata, Mammalia, Perissodactyla, Equidae.
GGCGGACCCGCCCACACCCGGCUCACCGCCUCCGAGCUUCCAGGCGUGCCGCGAUGCGGAGGCGCCGGGCCUGGAUCCGCUCCUGAGGGUUAUCGGAAUGUAUCGAGGGCCCGAGAAUCGGGGUGGGCAGCUCCGCCCGGACCGCCGCCAGACCGCCGCCCGGUUGCUAGCAACAAGCCGUUGCCAAGAAAAAGCAGUCACCUGACCCGCUGCUGGAGACACUGCUCGCGCAGCUCCUCAGGCCCCGCCCACGAGUAUCCUGAACGCGGCGUCCCAGCUUCGGGCUUCAUUCCUCUCUUCUCCACUAGGGGUGUGAGUACUGUCUUGAGCCCCAUGGAAGACCCAGCCAUAUUAGCGGAAGACUGAAGAGCCGGACUUAGUGUGGUUCAUCACUUAUUGACCCCGAUGGUUAAUUCAUCAUUCAGCCUCAAGCAGUCAACUUCCCUAGGGGACAUGGAAUCAGAGGAGCAAGGUACAGUUUUGACCGCAGACUCUUCAAGGUCCUGGUCUUUGUUUCCACCAUCUGUGAGAAGAGAAACAAAUACGCGUGUGCUAUGCAGCUACGGCUGCGAGUAGGCUACCAGGAGAAUGUCAGCGGGAACCAGCUGUUCAAGAGAGAGGGGAGAGAGCAGGGGCACCAUAAAAACCCCUGAAAAGUGACCAAUGAGGUACUUGGCCCUAACGUGUCCCCAGAUACCUUCAUUCCAGCCGUCUUUUGUGAGUGGUGACAGGAGAUCCUGAAGAGACUGCGGGGGGCAAGAGUAGGGCUGUCGUGGAUGAGAGGACCUCGGAGAGGGACGCAGGUGACGUCCACCUUGGUGAUUCACCAGCAUCCAGUGUCUAGUCCUCAUGUGGCAGGCAAUACUCCAAAAGGAGACCUGCUUUUGAGAAAUGACUGACACUACUAAGCUCACGAAAGACAAACAUACAGAGAAUACACUAAUUUGAAGAAGAAACUACAAGUGACACAGAGUGCCUGUGUGUGUUUAUGACUUGUGACCAGCACAUCUCUGUCACUGAUCUACAAAGAGAAUCAAACUGUAAUUGGGAAGCUUCUUGAUAAUGGACAACUGACUGGAAUGGACUCGGGCCCACGAUGGGGAUAACUUGCCACAGACUAGGUAGGUCAAGUCCUUGGGGUAUGGCACCCAUCCCUGGGUAAGUUUUGGGUGACAAAUGCAAAACCUCUGGCUAUAGGGACUUCCUUUGCUAUGCUACAGGCUGGCCAUCUACUUCAGCUUAUAGUCUGUUUCC